UACAGGGGGUGCAAACGUUGCUCGGAAUCAUUGGGCGUAAAGCGCACGUAGGCGGUUCGUUAUGUCGGAUGUGAAAGCCCUUGGCUUAACCGAGGAAGUGCAUCCGAAACUGGCGAGCUAGAGUACGAAAGAGGAUCGCGGAAUUCCCGGUGUAGAGGUGAAAUUCGUAGAUAUCGGGAGGAACACCGGUGGCGAAGGCGGCGAUCUGGGUCGAUACUGACGCUGAGGUGCGAAAAGCGUGGGGAGCAAACAGG
RNAcentral lists this ribosomal RNA (254 nucleotides) under uncultured bacterium. Its description in RNAcentral is "partial 16S ribosomal RNA". It matches the Rfam family "Bacterial small subunit ribosomal RNA", at positions 524 to 776 of the family's 1533-position model. The record is from RNAcentral.